Suricata suricatta (meerkat) is the source of this 1785-nucleotide long non-coding RNA. RefSeq lists it as uncharacterized. The transcript is spliced from 3 exons. NCBI's taxonomy places the organism in Eukaryota, Metazoa, Chordata, Mammalia, Carnivora, Herpestidae. The record is from RefSeq and is a predicted model, not a curated record.
UCGUCACAGCCGAUCAUGGGGCUGCCGUCGUCCGGCUUGUUGCACCCGGGGCAGAUCCAGAUCUGAUUCCCCCACUCAUCUCGGAUCUGAGGUGUUUAAGGGGCGCAGGGGGGGGGGGAGCAAAGCCAAGGUAAUGGGGAGAAAGAACCAAAAAGAGGGCAACAUAAGAACGAUUACACCGUGAACCUAAUAAACAAGUUAAACGAAAAAGCAAAAAAGUGGCUUGGCAAUGUCUGAAGGGCGUGAUCGUGGCCACCAUCACCCCGGGACCUACAGGAGGCUGAAGGGAGCCACUAAGCACCAAGGAGAAGACCCUUCUAACGAGUAUUUUAAAGUCUCUUUGUAAAGCACAACAACCAAAGGGCAAAUACAAGGAGGGAUGCAGGAGGCCAGCGAGCUACACAUUUUCACAUUAUUCUGCUGGAAAUGCGGUGUGGCCUGGAGGUUGCUUACUGAGCAGUUCCCAGGAAGAAGCCUCCCUAAUUAUAUCACUGCCGCAAAUUCCACGUUCACAAAACCAGUUUGGAAGAAACAAAUCUAUAAUGAACCUUCAAGAAGCAGCAACGACCGCUAGCUAAUUCUCAGAAGUUUUUACAGUAAUGCGGCCAGUGGUGUCGAGUUGAUUCUGCAGGUGCUGUCUGUUCCUACACUUUCCGAUACAACCCUGACUACAGAGGCAGAAAGGGGGGCUCUGUCGUGGGGGAACAGAGGUCUCAUUCCGUUGGUGGGCUCUCUGAAGGCUGACCAGGUUUGGAAAAGUCUCUGCUGAAGGCAAACUACAGCGGCCCGGAAGCUUUCCAAAGACACCUGCCGGCAGCCCCACCCGACACACCCCCUCUAACGCUACGGGGAGAGAACGCCGUUACCGCAGGCCUGCUCUCUGGGGCUCAGCCUGGUCCAGCACCGUAUGCCCCGGGGCUGCCAUGUGUGGCCGGCCUGACUGGCUGGCUGGCCUCUCUUGAAAUUAGCAGCCGUGACUCUGCAGCCGCUGAGCAACCUGCCAUGGCGUCCACCUGCAGCCAGCGCGCUGAGUUCUUCCAGACAUCUCUGACUUCGGCCAGCCAGCCAGAAACCACCCCCGGGGAGGUUAAGGAUGGGGGGGCUGGAGCCAGGGGAACACAAGUGACAGUUCCAAAGUCCCACUGCGAGGCAGUCACAAAAAUCAGCCUUUUGGCUCUAUUGCCUGUUUUUCCUCCAAAUCACAUGUUUUGGCCUCUGUCGACAAAAUGUCGCUGAGGAGAUACAAGGCUUUUCUUCCAUGUUAUCUAUGCCAAUCAGAUUCAGCUGCAGGGAGUGGGCGCGAAAACCCACCGGAACCGGAAGCUAGGCCAUGACAUCCUGUGCCGGUCAUCUCCUCUGACUCAAACCCUCUAAUUAUGGCUGAAGCCGUGGAGAUCAAAGAGAGUGACUCCAGGCUUGGGUAAGCCCAUAUUACAAUGGGGAAAACGCCUGGGAACGGUCCCAUGACAGUGACCGGAACUCAUUCAACGAGGGAGUGCUGCCAUUGGGAGACAGGCUUGGAUACCCCAGGAGGCUCUGUCCCAGGUUCAUUUCCAUGGACCACGCGAGCCGUGGCGGCCUCCCACCUUGCGCGGCCAAGUGCGGCGGGCACUACCCGGAGACUGCGUGCGGCCCGGGAGGUCCGGGGACCUUACGUACACGACAGUCUCACGUGAGUAACUUAAUUGCUGGAUGGAGACCGCCAACGUGGAAUUUAAAUCACCGUUUCUCCACACUCCCCCCUGCCGUCCUGGGACAGAAUAAAACAGCAUACAUGGAAGGAAA